CUGUCGCUCUGGUUCUCUUCUUCGUACACACUCUCCCUCUUUUGUCGCUCACAGACCGUAAAGCAUGCCGCAAGCUAUACCGAGACCCUGCCAGCGUAAGUAAGACAGCCACUAUUCGCAGGUUUGCUACAACAAGUAAUUAUGCAAAAUCAUUAAAACAAAAAUUGAAUUUUCAUCACUUACAGCACAAUUUUGAAGAAUUGUCAGGACCUCCUUCCUUUUGUCAACGACGCGAGAAACAAGACAAAAAUACCAAAACUCAGAAACUAUAAUGUGAAAGAUAAGAAGAAAGAGAUACCU
RNAcentral lists this long non-coding RNA (300 nucleotides) under Carica papaya (papaya). RNAcentral's name for it is "long non-coding RNA (CPAP_LNC014199)". The record is from RNAcentral. Lineage: Eukaryota; Viridiplantae; Streptophyta; Magnoliopsida; Brassicales; Caricaceae.